Molecule: long non-coding RNA, 2295 nt
Filed under: Homo sapiens (human)
Lineage: Eukaryota; Metazoa; Chordata; Mammalia; Primates; Hominidae
Description: HSALNT0136940
Source: RNAcentral
GGAUUAUAGGCGUGAGCCACUGUGCCCGGUCUUUUUCUUUAAUGUAGUAUUCACUGGGUUUUUUAAAUUAGUGUCAUAAGUCAGUUAUCCAAGUAGUUUUUCUCCUUUAUUUCAACAUUGACUUCUGACUUUUCCGAAUAUAGGAAUUCCUUCUGUCCUGUUAAGCAGUCCUUCGCUUUCUGCUUUUGGAUACUUAAGUGACCACCUCACUUUUUUGUGAUGCAGCUUGUUCAAUUUUUGGAUAGUUCUCGUGGUAAGAAAAUUCUGGACCAAAUAUGUUGUCUCUAACUUCAGUUCGUUUUAUAAAAUGUUUAUCUUUCACAUCAGCACUGUAUUUCAUAUGAUAAUCUUUAGUUCAUGAUCCUUUUAAAAAUAAUUUUGUUAACUACUAAAUGUGGUCAGAGCUUGGUACUGACUGUUAUGAUCUAAUUACCAAUGGGUAACAAUAGUUGUAUCUAUAUGUAAAUAGUUGGGUAAUUUGCCUACUGUUGCAGCCACUCUUACUGCUGCAUUUUGAAAGUAUAAAUAGUUUUAAAUCCUCUUAACAAGUACCAUUUUAUUUUGUAGAAAUUCCUAAAAAAUGAAAAUGUAAUUAUUUAAUAUAUGCUGGGCACUAUACUAAGCAUUUUAUAUCCUUUAAGCAUAUAGUCCUCUGAUCAACCAUCUUGAUUUUACAGAAGAGGAAACUCUAGAGAAGGAAACUAUUUACUUAGGAUUCCAGAGCUAUUAAUGUGCAAGAGCCAGGAUUCAAAUUCAUGUGCCUAACUUCAUGGUCUUUAUAACCUUGCUCUGUGCCCCAGUGGGGUAAUUUAAAUGCUUUGAAACACACAAAUGAUGUGUAUUUCAUAUAAUACAGGACACAUGGAAAUGCUGAGUAGAACUAUGAUACAAAUCAGCUCACCAUAAAGUACAAUCUCCAGUGGCCAGAGAGAACUAAAAGGAAACUAAAAACCCGCAUGACACAGUUAACUUUGGGGCUUAAGAUGAGAUAAGAGUGAUGGCGCUUGCCAGUAAUCCCAGCUAUUCCAGAGGUCGAGCUGGAAGGAUCCCUUGAGCCGAGUGCGAGGCUGCAUUGAACUAUUACCACACCACUGCACUCCAGCCUGGGCAACAGAGUGAGACCUCAUCUCUGGACAAGUGUUAUUUGUGACAGCACAAUGUUUGAUACAACCCAAAUGUUGAAUGAAAGUGGACCAGCUAAAUAAACCAUGAACAUUUACUCAAUGGAAUGUUAGGCAGCUAUUAAAAAAUAAGGUGCACUGAAUUCGUUAGGAAAGGAUUUAGGUUAUGUUAUCGGAUGAAAAAAAUGUAAAAAACUGAAAGGGGUGGAGGAAAUAAGACCAUAUACUUGACUUGGCUAGAAUUUGCAUUUAAAAAAACACUGAAAGGACAUUUGAAGAGUGUAAUAAAAGUAGUUAAUAUCUAUGGAGCGUGAAUAGGGAAGGAAUGAAGUGAAUAAGGAUAGGAGUGGGAGAGAGGAAUCCUGCCUUUGGGAUACAUUGUUUAUUCUAACACAGAUUUAAAAAUCUGAAUACAUAACAAAAUUUACCAUCUUAACUACUUUUACCUGUAUGCUUCAGUAGCAUUAAGUACAUUCACAUUAUGCAACCAUCACCACCAUUCAUCUCAAGAACUUCAUCUUUCCAAACUGAAACCCUGUACCCACGCUUUAGAUUUUAAAUUGUGUUAACCUGUGACCUAUAAACACGAUUCAAAGGCCAGGUGCGGUGGCUCACGCCUGUAAUCCCAGCACUUUAGGAGACCGAGGUGGGCAGAUCAUGAGGUCAGGAGUUCGAGACUAUCUUGGCCAAUAUGGUGAAACCCCAUCUCUACUAAAAAUACAAAAAUUAGCUGGGCGUGGUGGCAUGCGCUGGUAAUCUCAGCUACUCAGGAGGCUGAGGCAGGAGAAUCACAUGAAUCCUGGGGGCAGAGGUUGCAGUAAGCCAAGAUUGUGCCACUGCACUCCAGCCUGGGCAACCAAAUGAGACUCUGUAAAAAAAAGGAAAAAGAAAAAAGAUUCAAUGGAUGAGUUAAACUAUAUUAGAGACAACAGAUUUUAAAGGUAGUUCUGAGGAAUUUACUCAAGGAAGCGCAGCAAACAAGGGAGGGUAGGAGACUACAAAAAUAAAGUAAAAAGGUCCAAUACAGGCUUUAAAAGGUCCAAUACAGGCUUUAAUAGAAGUUGCAGAAGGAGAGAACAGAAUGGAGAGAACUAUAAAAUGGCUGAUGUUUGCAGGGUGUGGUGGGUCACGCCUGUAAUUCCAGCACUUUGGGAGGCCGAGGUGGGCAGAUCAC